This 394-nucleotide long non-coding RNA is filed under the name Vigna radiata. RNAcentral's name for it is "long non-coding RNA (VRAD_LNC011808)". The record is from RNAcentral. Lineage: Eukaryota; Viridiplantae; Streptophyta; Magnoliopsida; Fabales; Fabaceae.
AGAAAAGGAAGUAGCGUAAAAUUGUGUGAUUCUGAUUCGUGAAUAUGCAUAAAGUAUAUUAGUGAGUAAUUGGGAUUUGUGAUAUUUUAGCGUAACGAACCAAAAAUGGGAUUAAGGAGAGGGAACCAAUGUUAGGGUUAUGAUGUUGCUUAAACGCAUUUAGCUGCUUCCAUCUUCUGCUUUGCUUUGGGUUCCUUUCCUUCCUCGUAUACCGAGCACAUAUCCCACUCAACCCUACACGCGCUCGACUUUGGCCCAGUCUUUUGAGUAAUUUUCAAGCCAUCUAACAUUCUCUGUUAUUUUCACUUCCAAGAAUUAAUUAUUAUAUUAUGUCACUCCACCACUCAACACAUUUUCCUCUUCUUAGCUCUCCAUAUCUCAUUAUAAUUUUUCC